GCUCCUAUAGUUCAAUGGAUAGAAUAACUCUCUCCUAAAGAGUAGAUACAGGUUCAAUUCCUGUUGGGAGUA
This 72-nucleotide transfer RNA is filed under the name Crassvirales sp. Its description in RNAcentral is "tRNA-Arg". It matches the Rfam family "tRNA". Rfam says of the family: Transfer RNA (tRNA) molecules are approximately 80 nucleotides in length. Their secondary structure includes four short double-helical elements and three loops (D, anti-codon, and T loops). Further hydrogen bonds mediate the characteristic L-shaped molecular structure. tRNAs have two regions of fundamental functional importance: the anti-codon, which is responsible for specific mRNA codon recognition, and the 3' end, to which the tRNAs corresponding amino acid is attached (by aminoacyl-tRNA synthetases). tRNAs cope with the degeneracy of the genetic code in two manners: having more than one tRNA (with a specific anti-codon) for a particular amino acid; and 'wobble' base-pairing, i.e. permitting non-standard base-pairing at the 3rd anti-codon position. The record is from RNAcentral. Lineage: Duplodnaviria; Heunggongvirae; Uroviricota; Caudoviricetes; Crassvirales.